Molecule: non-coding RNA, 89 nt
Filed under: bovine gut metagenome
Description: TPP riboswitch (THI element)
Rfam family: TPP riboswitch aptamer (THI element)
About the family: Vitamin B(1) in its active form thiamin pyrophosphate (TPP) is an essential coenzyme that is synthesised by coupling of pyrimidine and thiazole moieties in bacteria. The previously detected thiamin-regulatory element, thi box was extended, resulting in a new, highly conserved RNA secondary structure, the THI element, which is widely distributed in eubacteria and also occurs in some archaea.
Source: RNAcentral
UAUCAAGGGGUGCCCGUCAGUUCGGCGGGCUGAGAACAGACCCUCUGGAACCUGAAACGGGUAAUGCCGACGUAGGAAUGAUAAACAUU